Molecule: ribosomal RNA, 522 nt
Filed under: uncultured bacterium
Lineage: Bacteria
Description: bacterial LSU rRNA
Rfam family: Bacterial large subunit ribosomal RNA
Source: RNAcentral
UAGGUUUAAGAGACAACCUGGAGAACUGAAACAUCUAAGUAACCAGAGGAAAAGAAAUCAAUUGAGAUUCCGUUAGUAGUGGCGAGCGAACGCGGAGUAGGCCAGUAGUUUUGUUAGAAAAAUUUGAAUAGUUUGGAAAUGCUAACCAUAGAGGGUGAUAGUCCCGUAUGAGUAAUGUCUAACAAAAUUCUUGAGUAAAGCGGGACACGAGAAAUCCUGCUCGAAUAUAGGGGGACCACCCUCUAAGCCUAAAUACUCUUCAGUGACCGAUAGUGAACUAGUACCGUGAGGGAAAGGUGAAAAGAACCCCUAUUAGGGGAGUGAAAUAGAACCUGAAACUGCAUGCCUACAAUCAGUCCGAGCCCUUUUUAGGGUGAGGGCGUACCUUUUGUAUAAUGGGUCAGUGACUUAAUUUAUUAAGCAAGCUUAAGCCAUCUAGGUGUAGGCGCAGCGAAAGCAAGUCUUAAUAGGGCGAUUAGUUUAAUGAAUUAGACCCGAAAACGAAUGAGCUUACCAUGAGCA